GAUGAACGCUGGCGGCGUGCCUAAUACAUGCAAGUCGAGCGAACGGACGAGAAGCUUGCUUCUCUGAUGUUAGCGGCGGACGGGUGAGUAACACGUGGAUACCCUACCUAUAAGACUGGUAUAACCUCGGGAAACCGGAGCUAAUCCCGGAUAAUAUUCUGAACCGCAUGGUUCAAUAGUGAAAGACGGUCUUGCUGUCACUUAUAGAUGGAUCUGCGCUGCAUUAGCUAGUUGGUAAGGUAACGGCUUAUCAAGGCAACGAUUCGUAGCCGACCUGGGAGAGUGAUCGGCCACACUAGAACGGAGACACGGUCCAGAGGCCUACGGGAGGCAGCAGUAGGGAAUCUUCCGCAAUGGGCGAAAGCCUGACGGAGCGACGCCGCGUGAGUGAUGAAGGUCUUCGGAUCGUAAAACUCUGUUAUUAGGGAAAAACAUAUGUGUAAGUAACUGUGCACAUCUUGACGGUACCUAGUAAGGAAGCCACGGCUAACUACGUG
RNAcentral lists this ribosomal RNA (497 nucleotides) under uncultured bacterium. RNAcentral describes it as "partial 16S ribosomal RNA". It matches the Rfam family "Bacterial small subunit ribosomal RNA", at positions 28 to 507 of the family's 1533-position model. The record is from RNAcentral.